AGGGUGUAAACGCUGCAGACUUGGUGUUGGGAACCCUUCGGGGGUGCUCAGUGCCGGAGAGAAGUUGUUAAGUCUGCUACUUGGGGAGUACGUCCGCAAGGAUGAAACUUAAAGGAAUUGGCGGGGGAGCACCGCAACGGGAGGAGCGUGCGGUUUAAUUGGAUUCAACGCCGAAAAACUCACCAGCAGCGACCGUUACAUGAAAGUCAGGUUGAUGACCUUACUAGAUUUUCAGAGAGGAGGUGCAUGGCGUCAGUGACU
This 261-nucleotide ribosomal RNA is filed under the name uncultured archaeon. RNAcentral describes it as "partial 16S ribosomal RNA". It matches the Rfam family "Archaeal small subunit ribosomal RNA", at positions 748 to 1008 of the family's 1478-position model. The record is from RNAcentral.